GAUGCAACGCGAAGAACCUUACCUGGUCUUGACAUAUCUAGAAUCCUGCAGAGAUGCGGGAGUGCCUUCGGGAAUUAGAAUACAGGUGCUGCAUGGCUGUCGUCAGCUCGUGUCGUGAGAUGUUGGGUUAAGUCCCGCAACGAGCGCAACCCUUGUCCUUAGUUACCAGCGGUUUGGCCGGGAACUCUAAGGAUACUGCCAGUGACAAACUGGAGGAAGGCGGGGACGACGUCAAGUCAUCAUGGCCCUUACGACCAGGGCUACACACGUGCUACAAUGGUAGGUACAGAGGGCAGCUACACAGCGAUGUGAUGCGAAUCUCAAAAAGCCUAUCGUAGUCCAGAUUGGAGUCUGCAACUCGACUCCAUGAAGUAGGAAUCGCUAGUAAUCGCGGAUCAGAAUGCCGCGGUGAAUACGUUCCCGGGCCUUGUACACACCGCCCGUCACACCAUGGGAGUUGAUUGCACCAGAAGUGGGUAGCCUAACCUUUUAGGAUGGCGCUCACCACGGUGUGGUUGAUGACUGGGGUGAAGUCGUAACAAGGUAGCCGUA
This 552-nucleotide ribosomal RNA is filed under the name uncultured bacterium. Its description in RNAcentral is "bacterial SSU rRNA". It matches the Rfam family "Bacterial small subunit ribosomal RNA", at positions 953 to 1504 of the family's 1533-position model. The record is from RNAcentral.